RNAcentral lists this unclassified non-coding RNA (220 nucleotides) under Hevea brasiliensis (rubber tree). Lineage: Eukaryota; Viridiplantae; Streptophyta; Magnoliopsida; Malpighiales; Euphorbiaceae. The record is from RNAcentral.
CACCCUCUUAUUUAUCUCUCUUAAUAUUCAUCAUCUGCAUGCCUAACCUCUUCAGCUCUCCAAACACUCUUGAAAAUGGCUUCUUUCUCCACCACUCUUUUUUCUCCUCUCACCUCUUCACCUUUCCUUCACUCUCUCUUCUUUUCAUCUACCUUUCAACGCCCACCAAAAAUGCUGUACGACCUCAUUUCUUCACCAAUUUCUUGAACCCUUCACAACC